GGUCUGAAGGUCCCCAAGGUUGGUCUGAAGGUCCCCAAGGUUGGUCUGAAGGUCUUCAAGGUUGGUCUGAAGGUCCCCAAAGUUGGUUUGAAGGUCCCCAAGGUUGGUUUGAAGGUCCCCAAGGUUGAUUUGAAGGUUCCCCAAGGUUGGUUUAAAGAUCUCCAAGGUUGGUCUGAAGGUCCCCAAGGUUGGUUUGAAGGUCCCCAGAGAUGGUCUGAAGGUCCCUGAGAUUGGUCUGAAGGGCCCCAAGGUUGGUUUGAAGAUCCCCAAGGUUGGUUUUAAGAUCUCCAAGGUUGGUCUGAAGGUCCCCAAAGUUGGUUUGAAGGUUCCCCGGGGUUGGUUUAAAGAUCUCCAAGGUUGAUUUAAAGAUCUCCAAGGUUGGUCUGAAGGUCCCCAAAGUUGGUUUAAAGAUCUCCAAGGUUGGUCUGAAGGUCCCCAAAGUUGACCUGAAGCUCCUUAAGGUUGGUCUGAAGGUCCCCAAGGUUGGUCUGAAGGUCCCCAAGGUCGAUUUAAAGAUCUCCAAGGUUGGUCUGAAGGUCCUUGAGGUUGCUCUGAAGAUC
Molecule: long non-coding RNA, 560 nt
Organism: Chiroxiphia lanceolata (lance-tailed manakin)
Lineage: Eukaryota; Metazoa; Chordata; Aves; Passeriformes; Pipridae
Exons: 4
Source: RefSeq, a predicted model, not a curated record